RNAcentral lists this ribosomal RNA (439 nucleotides) under uncultured bacterium. RNAcentral's name for it is "partial 16S ribosomal RNA". It matches the Rfam family "Bacterial small subunit ribosomal RNA", at positions 339 to 795 of the family's 1533-position model. The record is from RNAcentral.
CUACGGGGCGCUGCAGUGAGGAAUAUUGCACAAUGGAGGAAACUCUGAUGCAGCGACGCCGCGUGGAGGAUGACGCAUUUCGGUGUGUAAACUCCUUUUAUAUGUCAAGAAAAUGACGGUAGCACAUGAAUAAGCACCGGCUAACUCCGUGCCAGCAGCCGCGGUAAUACGGAGGGUGCAAGCGUUACUCGGAAUCACUGGGCGUAAAGGACGCGUAGGCGGGAUAUCAAGUCAGGUGUGAAAUCCUACAGCUUAACUGUAGAACUGCACUUGAAACUGGUAACCUAGAGUAUGGGAGGGGGAGAUGGAAUUAGUGGUGUAGGGGUAAAAUCCGUAGAUAUCACUAGGAAUACCUAAAGCGAAGGCGAUCUCCUGGAACAUAACUGACGCUAAGGCGUGAAAGCGUGGGGAGCAAACAGGAUUAGAUACCCCGGUAGUC